ACGCUCGACACCUACGGAGCAGCAGUUAGGAAUAUUGGGCAAUGGAGGAAACUCUGACCCAGCAACGCCGCGUGAAGGAAGAAGGUUUUCGGAUUGUAAACUUCUGAUCUAGGGGAAGAAGGAAGUGACGGUACCCUAGGAGAAAGCCACGGCUAACUACGUGCCAGCAGCCGCGGUAAUCUGAGCGGGCUGGCAAGGC
RNAcentral lists this ribosomal RNA (199 nucleotides) under uncultured bacterium. Its description in RNAcentral is "partial 16S ribosomal RNA". It matches the Rfam family "Bacterial small subunit ribosomal RNA", at positions 326 to 539 of the family's 1533-position model. The record is from RNAcentral.